UACAGAGGGGGCAAGCGUUGUUCGGAAUUACUGGGCGUAAAGGGCGCGUAGGCGGCCUGCUAAGUCGAACGUGAAAUCCCUGGGCUCAACCCAGGAACUGCGUCCGAUACUGGUUGGCUUGAAUCCGGGAGAGGGAUGUGGAAUUCCAGGUGUAGCGGUGAAAUGCGUAGAUAUCAAGAGGAACACCUGCGGCGAAGGCGGGUUGCUGGGCCGACACUGACGCUGAGGCGCGAAAGCUAGGGGAGCGAACGGG
This 253-nucleotide ribosomal RNA is filed under the name uncultured bacterium. Its description in RNAcentral is "partial 16S ribosomal RNA". It matches the Rfam family "Bacterial small subunit ribosomal RNA", at positions 524 to 776 of the family's 1533-position model. The record is from RNAcentral.